Molecule: ribosomal RNA, 497 nt
Filed under: uncultured bacterium
Lineage: Bacteria
Description: partial 16S ribosomal RNA
Rfam family: Bacterial small subunit ribosomal RNA
Source: RNAcentral
GAUGAACGCUGGCGGCGUGCCUAAUACAUGCAAGUCGAGCGAACGGACGAGAAGCUUGCUUCUCUGAUGUUAGCGGCGGACGGGUGAGUAACACGUGGAUAACCUACCUAUAAGACUGGGAUAACUUCGGGAAACCGGAGCUAAUACCGGAUAAUAUUUUGAACCGCAUGGUUCAAAAGUGAAAGACGGUCUUGCUGUCACUUAUAGAUGGAUCCGCGCUGCAUUAGCUAGUUGGUAAGGUAACGGCUUACCAAGGCAACGAUGCAUAGCCGACCUGAGAGGGUGGUCGGCCACACUGGAACGGAAACACGGUCCAGACUCCUACGGGAGGCAGCGGUAGGGAGUCGGCCGCAAUGGGCGAAAGCCUGACGGAGCAACGCCGCGUGAGUUAUGAAGGUCUUCGGAUCGUAAAACUCUGUUAUGAGGGAGGAACAUAUGUGUAAGUACCUGUGCACAUCUUGACGGUACCUAAGCAGAAAGCCACGGCUAACUACGUG